This 480-nucleotide ribosomal RNA is filed under the name uncultured bacterium. Its description in RNAcentral is "partial 16S ribosomal RNA". It matches the Rfam family "Bacterial small subunit ribosomal RNA", at positions 28 to 523 of the family's 1533-position model. The record is from RNAcentral.
GAUGAACGCUGGCGGCGUGCCUAACACAUGCAAGUCGAACGAUGAAACCGCCUCCGGGCGGACAUGAAGUGGCGAACGGGUGAGUAACACGUGACCGACCUGCCCCCCGCCCAGGGACAGCCCCCCGAAAGGGGGAUUAAUACCUGGUACUCCGGAAGCGGCGCAUCCCACCCCCGGGAACGCUCUGGCGGCGGGGGAUGGGGUCGCGGCCCAUCAGGUAGACGGCGGGGCAGAGGCCCACCGUGCCGACGACGGGUAGCCGGGUUGAGAGACCGACCGGCCACAUUGGGACUGAGAUACGGCCCAGACUCCUACGGGAGGCAGCAGUGGGGAAUUUUGCGCAAUGGGGGCAACCCUGACGCAGCAACGCCGCGUGCGGGACGAAGGCGUCCGCGUCGUAAACCGCUUUCAGCGGGGAACACUUUUCGAGGGUACCCGCAGAAGAAGCCCCGGCUAAAUACGUGCCAGCAGCCGCAGUAA